GAUGAACGCUGGCGGCAUGCCUAAUACAUGCAAGUCGAACGAGAGGAAGGAAAGCUUGCUUUCCUGAAUCUAGUGGCGAACGGGUGAGUAACACGUAGGUAACCUGCCCAUGUGCCCGGGAUAACUUCUGGAAACGGAUGCUAAAACCGGAUAGGUAGCAGACAAGCAUUUGACUGCUAUUAAAGUGGCCUUGGCCAUGAACAUGGAUGGACCUGCGGUGCAUUAGCUAGUUGGUGAGGUAACGGCCCACCAAGGCGACGAUGCAUAGCCGGCCUGAGAGGGCGGACGGCCACAUUGGGACUGAGACACGGCCCAAACUCCUACGGGAGGCAGCAGUAGGGAAUUUUCGUCAAUGGGGGGAACCCUGAACGAGCAAUGCCGCGUGAGUGAGGAAGGUCUUCGGAUCGUAAAGCUCUGUUGUAAGAGAAAAACGGCACUCAUAGGGAAUGAUGAGUGAGUGAUGGUAUCUUACCAGAAAGUCACGGCUAACUACGUGCCAGCAGCCGCGGUAA
Molecule: ribosomal RNA, 512 nt
Filed under: uncultured bacterium
Lineage: Bacteria
Description: partial 16S ribosomal RNA
Rfam family: Bacterial small subunit ribosomal RNA
Source: RNAcentral